RNAcentral lists this ribosomal RNA (1238 nucleotides) under Candidatus Vidania fulgoroideorum. RNAcentral describes it as "bacterial SSU rRNA". It matches the Rfam family "Bacterial small subunit ribosomal RNA", at positions 99 to 1393 of the family's 1533-position model. The record is from RNAcentral. Lineage: Bacteria; Pseudomonadati; Pseudomonadota; Betaproteobacteria.
CGAACGGGUGAGUAAUGUAACAAAAUAUACCUCUAAGUAAAGUAUCAGAAAAUGAAAAUCUUUUAAAAACUUUAUAUUAUUAUUUUAUAAAAAAUAAUAAAAAACAUUUUGCUUAUAGAUUAGUUGUUAUCAGAUUAGCUUGUUGGUGAUGUAAAUGAUUACCAAGGCAUUUAUCUGUAGCUGUUCUAAGAGGAAGAUCAGCCACAUUGGGACUGAGACAAGGCCCAAACUUCUACGGAAGGCAGCAGUGAGGAAUAUUGGACAAUGAGCGCAAGCUUGAUCCAGCAAUACCGCGUGUGUGAUGAAGGCAAUUAAUGUUGUAAAGCACUUUUGCUUAGGAAUAAGUUUAAUGAAUGUACUAAGAGAAUAAGUACUGGCUAAUUACGUGCCAGCAGCCGCGGUAAUACGUAAAGUGCAAGCGUUAAUCGGAUUUAUUGGGCGUAAAGGGUGUGUAGGUUGUUUAAUGUGAAAAUAGUUAAAUUCAUAAGCUCAAUUUCUGAUAUGCUAUUUUUACUAUUAUACUAGAGUAUAAUUGGAGUGAGUGGAAUUUUACAUGUAGUAGUGAAAUGCAUAAAUAUGUAAAGGAACACCAAUAGCGAAGGCAACUCACUAAAUUAAUACUGACACUGAUACACGAAAGCAUGGGGAGCAAACAGGAUUAGAUACCCUGGUAGUCCAUGCCCUAAACUAUGUCAACUAGUUGUUGGUUUCAGUGACGAAGCUAACGCGUUAAGUUGACCGCCUGGGGACUACGAUCGCAAGAUUAAAACUCAAAGGAAUUGACGGGGACCCGCACAAGCGGUGGAUGAUGUGGAUUAAUUCGAUGCAACACGAAAAACCUUACCUACUCUUGACAUGUAUAGAAUUUAUUUGAAAAAAUAAAGUGCCUAUAACACAGGUGCUGCAUGGCUGUCGUCAGCUCGUGUCGUGAGAUGUUGGGUUAAGUCCUGGAACGAGCGCAACCCUUUUCUCUUGUAUGCUAAGCACUCUUGAGAUACUGCUAAUUUUUUAGAGGAAGGAGAGGAUGACGUCAAGUCAUCAUGGCCCUUAUGAGUAGGGCUUCACACGUCAUACAAUGGUUAAUACAGAAAGAUGCAAGUUUGUAAAAAUGAGCAAAUCUAUAAAAUUAAUCUUAGUUCAGAUUGUACCCUGAAACUCGGGUAUAUGAAGAUGGAAUCGCUAGUAAUCGCAAAUCAGAAUGUUGCGGUGAAUAUGUUCUCGGGUCUUGUACACACCGC